Molecule: small RNA, 132 nt
Filed under: Klebsiella pneumoniae
Lineage: Bacteria; Pseudomonadati; Pseudomonadota; Gammaproteobacteria; Enterobacterales; Enterobacteriaceae
Description: RtT sRNA
Rfam family: RtT RNA
About the family: This family represents a bacterial cis-regulatory element known as RtT RNA.
Source: RNAcentral
GCGCCCCGCUUCCCGAGAAGGAAGCAGGCCAGUACCAAGCAUUACCCCGAGCGCCAGCGAGAGAACGUUGCCACAGGCAACGGCCCGAAGGGCGAGGAGAGAUAGCGACGAGUUAUCCUUCCCCCACCACCA